This 109-nucleotide non-coding RNA is filed under the name Paenibacillus sp. RNAcentral describes it as "TPP sequence". It matches the Rfam family "TPP riboswitch aptamer (THI element)". From Rfam's summary of the family: Vitamin B(1) in its active form thiamin pyrophosphate (TPP) is an essential coenzyme that is synthesised by coupling of pyrimidine and thiazole moieties in bacteria. The previously detected thiamin-regulatory element, thi box was extended, resulting in a new, highly conserved RNA secondary structure, the THI element, which is widely distributed in eubacteria and also occurs in some archaea. Lineage: Bacteria; Bacillati; Bacillota; Bacilli; Caryophanales; Paenibacillaceae. The record is from RNAcentral. RNAcentral also lists the same sequence under 2 other names.
CGAAUGAGCCUGGGGAGCUGGCGUACGCCGGCUGAGAGGGGAGAAGCAUCCCGACCCGUUAAACCUGAUCUGGAUAAUGCCAGCGUAGGAACCGCAUGUCAUCCGAGCC